GCCCACAAACGUCGUUGGCACAGUUAGGCAGCGCGUCAGUCUCAUAAUCUGAAGGUCGUGAGUUCGAGCCUCACACGGGGCA
Molecule: non-coding RNA, 82 nt
Organism: Carassius carassius (crucian carp)
Lineage: Eukaryota; Metazoa; Chordata; Actinopteri; Cypriniformes; Cyprinidae
Source: the annotation of a RefSeq genome assembly